AAGUCGUAACAAGGUUUCCGUAGGUGAACCUGCGGAAGGAUCAUUAAAAAAGAUCGACUCCAAAAAAAUAUGGACGAUCAAAUCCAUAUCCACCUUGUGUGCACUUAUUGACCGUUCGCUUUGGCAGGAGUUGUCUUCGAUCCGGCCUCCCGUGUGGGGGAGGGAUCGAAGCGGCGAGGGGAGGAAAUCAAUUUCCACCUCGGCCUGCCAGAGUUUUUACCUUCAAAAAAACACUUUUUUUAAACCCUUUGGACUGAACCCUCGUCUCGAUUCUUUGGAAUCGGUCGAAUCUAAUACAACUUUCAACAACGGAUCUCUUGGCUCUC
Molecule: unclassified non-coding RNA, 326 nt
Filed under: fungal sp.
Lineage: Eukaryota; Fungi
Description: partial internal transcribed spacer region
Rfam family: Eukaryotic small subunit ribosomal RNA (bases 1-46)
Source: RNAcentral